GAGUGAAAUAGAACCUGAAACCGUGUGCUUACAAGUAGUCAGAGCCCGUUAAUGGGUGAUGGCGUGCCUUUUGUAGAAUGAACCGGCGAGUUACGAUUUGAUGCAAGGUUAAGCAGUAAAUGUGGAGCCGUAGCGAAAGCGAGUCUGAAUAGGGCGUUUAGUAUUUGGUCGUAGACCUGAAACCAGGUGAUCUACCCUUGGUCAGGUUGAAGUUCAGGUAACACUGAAUGGAGGACCGAACCGACUUACGUUGAAAAGUGAGCGGAUGAACUGAGGGUAGCGGAGAAAUUCCAAUCGAACCUGGAGAUAGCUGGUUCUCUCCGAAAUAGCUUUAGGGCUAGCCUCAAGUGAUGAUUAUUGGAGGUAGAGCACUGUUUGGACGAGGGGCCCCUCUCGGGUUACCGAAUUCAGACAAACUCCGAAUGCCAAUUAAUUUAACUUGGGAGUCAGAACAUGGGUGAUAAGGUCCGUGUUCGAAAGGGAAACAGCCCAGACCACCAGCUAAGGUCCCAAAAUAUAUGUUAAGUGGAAAAGGAUGUGGCGUUGCCCAGACAACUAGGAUGUUGGCUUAGAAGCAGCCAUCAUUUAAAGAGUGCGUAAUAGCUCACUAGUCGAGUGACACUGCGCCGAAAAUGUACCGGGGCUAAACAUAUUACCGAAGCUGUGGAUUGUCCUUUGGACAAUGGUAGGAGAGCGUUCUAAGGGCGUUGAAGCAUGAUCGUAAGGACAUGUGGAGCGCUUAGAAGUGAGAAUGCCGGUGUGAGUAGCGAAAGACGGGUGAGAAUCCCGUCCACCGAUUGACUAAGGUUUCCAGAGGAAGGCUCGUCCGCUCUGGGUUAGUCGGGUCCUAAGCUGAGGCCGACAGGCGUAGGCGAUGGAUAACAGGUUGAUAUUCCUGUACCACCUAUAAUCGUUUUAAUCGAUGGGGGGACGCAGUAGGAUAGGCGAAGCGUGCGAUUGGAUUGCACGUCUAAGCAGUAAGGCUGAGUAUUAGGCAAAUCCGGUACUCGUUAAGGCUGAGCUGUGAUGGGGAGAAGACAUUGAGUCUUCGAGUCGUUGAUUUCACACUGCCGAGAAAAGCCUCUAGAUAGAAAAUAGGUGCCCGUACCGCAAACCGACACAGGUAGUCAAGAUGAGAAUUCUAAGGUGAGCGAGCGAACUCUCGUUAAGGAACUCGGCAAAAUGACCCCGUAACUUCGGGAGAAGGGGUGCUCUUUAGGGUUAACGCCCAGAAGAGCCGCAGUGAAUAGGCCCAAGCGACUGUUUAUCAAAAACACAGGUCUCUGCUAAACCGUAAGGUGAUGUAUAGGGGCUGACGCCUGCCCGGUGCUGGAAGGUUAAGAGGAGUGGUUAGCUUCUGCGAAGCUACGAAUCGAAGCCCCAGUAAACGGCGGCCGUAACUAUAACGGUCCUAAGGUAGCGAAAUUCCUUGUCGGGUAAGUUCCGACCCGCACGAAAGGCGUAACGAUUUGGGCACUGUCUCAACGAGAGACUCGGUGAAAUCAUAGUACCUGUGAAGAUGCAGGUUACCCGCGACAGGACGGAAAGACCCCGUGGAGCUUUACUGUAGCCUGAUAUUGAAAUUCGGCACAGCUUGUACAGGAUAGGUAGGAGCCUUUGAAACGUGAGCGCUAGCUUACGUGGAGGCGCUGGUGGGAUACUACCCUAGCUGUGUUGGCUUUCUAACCCGCACCACUUAUCGUGGUGGGAGACAGUGUCAAGCGGGCAGUUUGACUGGGGCGGUCGCCUCCUAAAAGGUAACGGAGGCGCUCAAAGGUUCCCUCAGAAUGGUUGGAAAUCAUUCAUAGAGUGUAAAGGCAUAAGGGAGCUUGACUGCGAGACCUACAAGUCGAGCAGGGUCGAAAGACGGACUUAGUGAUCCGGUGGUUCCGCAUGGAAGGGCCAUCGCUCAACGGAUAAAAGCUACCCCGGGGAUAACAGGCUUAUCUCCCCCAAGAGUUCACAUCGACGGGGAGGUUUGGCACCUCGAUGUCGGCUCAUCGCAUCCUGGGGCUGUAGUCGGUCCCAAGGGUUGGGCUGUUCGCCCAUUAAAGCGGUACGCGAGCUGGGUUCAGAACGUCGUGAGACAGUUCGGUCCCUAUCCGUCGUGGGCGUAGGAAAUUUGAGAGGAGCUGUCCUUAGUACGAGAGGACCGGGAUGGACAUACCUCUGGUGUACCAGUUGUCGUGCCAACGGCAUAGCUGGGUAGCUAUGUGUGGACGGGAUAAGUGCUGAAAGCAUCUAAGCAUGAAGCCCCCCUCAAGAUGAGAUUUCCCAACUUCGGUUAUAAGAUCCCUCAAAGAUGAUGAGGUUAAUAGGUUCGAGGUGGAAGCAUGGUGACAUGUGGAGCUGACGAAUACUAAUCGAUCGAAGACUUAAUCAA
This 2383-nucleotide ribosomal RNA is filed under the name Staphylococcus aureus M0731. Its description in RNAcentral is "bacterial LSU rRNA". It matches the Rfam family "Bacterial large subunit ribosomal RNA", at positions 536 to 2925 of the family's 2925-position model. The record is from RNAcentral. Lineage: Bacteria; Bacillati; Bacillota; Bacilli; Caryophanales; Staphylococcaceae.